RNAcentral lists this ribosomal RNA (500 nucleotides) under uncultured Gulosibacter sp. RNAcentral describes it as "bacterial SSU rRNA". It matches the Rfam family "Bacterial small subunit ribosomal RNA", at positions 521 to 1016 of the family's 1533-position model. The record is from RNAcentral. Lineage: Bacteria; Bacillati; Actinomycetota; Actinomycetes; Micrococcales; Microbacteriaceae.
UAAUACGUAGGGUGCAAGCGUUGUCCGGAUUUAUUGGGCGUAAAGAGCUCGUAGGCGGUUAGACACGUCGGAUGUGAAAACUCGGGGCUCAACCCCCGAGCCUGCAUUCGAUACGGUCUGACUUGAGUGUGGUAGGGGUAACUGGAAUUCCUGGUGUAGCGGUGAAAUGCGCAGAUAUCAGGAGGAACACCGAUGGCGAAGGCAGGUUACUGGGCCAUUACUGACGCUGAGGAGCGAAAGCGUGGGGAGCGAACAGGAUUAGAUACCCUGGUAGUCCACGCCGUAAACGGUGGGCGCUAGAUGUGGGGACCAUUCCAUGGUUUCUGUGUCGCAGCUAACGCAUUAAGCGCCCCGCCUGGGGAGUACGGUCGCAAGACUAAAACUCAAAGGAAUUGACGGGGGCCCGCACAAGCAGCGGAGCAUGCGGCUUAAUUCGACGCAACGCGAAGAACCUUACCAAGGCUUGACAUAUACAGGAAUAUGGCAGAGAUGUCAUAGCC